Molecule: long non-coding RNA, 502 nt
Filed under: Glycine max (soybean)
Lineage: Eukaryota; Viridiplantae; Streptophyta; Magnoliopsida; Fabales; Fabaceae
Description: long non-coding RNA (GMAX_LNC004375)
Source: RNAcentral
UUACAUCGUUCAACAACUUCACCACUAAAUUAGAUUUUCACCUUAACUCAAUUGGAAAAACAUUUCCAAUGAUCCCUCUUUGCUUCAUGCAGAAGUGAAUGCCAUGGUUCAUCCUAGCAAAACAGCUACAAGAUAAUAAAAUCAUCCCAUGUAUUGCUACAUAGCCCAGCUUCUUGCAUGUUGUAGUUCCUCCCUAUUAAAUAACACCCUCACAUGAAUCAUGAUCAUCAUAUCCAGGUAUUCCUCUGCCUCAAGCUUGUGAUAAAGAAUACUAUACCACUUUCAGCCACCAUUCUCGAGAUCAACAGAACAAACAGGGGAUUAUUUAGUGACGAGAACACCAAUGGAUGCCUUGUUGUGUGAAAUCUAGAACCAACCUUGUGGAUUAAAAUGGAAGAGAAACCAAAUGAUUCCGAGCCUGUUUGUAUUCGCGUUGAAACAAAUGCAAGGCUUUGUGCCUCUAGCUUCUGUGUUUUUUGUCUCGUAACAUGUGAAAUGUUCG